Molecule: long non-coding RNA, 1044 nt
Filed under: Mytilus galloprovincialis (Mediterranean mussel)
Lineage: Eukaryota; Metazoa; Mollusca; Bivalvia; Mytilida; Mytilidae
Source: RNAcentral
GAAGAAUUAUACUACUUGAAAAGUGUUGCCUUGCUACAUGUUGCUGAAGAUGCAGUCCGAAUUGUCUUUGACGAGGAAUUUCAUCCAGCAGCACUUGCAAACUGUAUUCGUCAAAACGUUUGUAAACUCCUGUCUCUUCUGAAAAAAAAACAUUUGAAUAAUUUUCAAUGGAAAAUCCUUUUCUCGAAAGGUAAAAAGAUUUUAUGUUUUGAUAAAAUACAUGUACUGUUCUGCAAUUCGUUUUGAGUCAACUAAAGUUUGUAUAGUCGUUAAAUAUUACUUGAAAAAUACUUAUUUUAAUUAACCAGUGAGAAACAUAUAAUAAGAACACGUUUGAAUAAAACAUAUCAACUUAGAUUUAAAAUGAAACAUACAGAGACAAAAACUUGCACACAAACUACAAAGUAGACUACAGAUGUCAAAAAUUCAACCUCGAAACAACAAAUAGAAAAAAGGGCGGUUACGUCUACUGCACUAUACCUGCUAUUAUUUUUGAUGGCCACGGAUUCUUAUUACUAGUACUCAGUAUUAUCAUUAUUUUGAAAAGUACAUUUAAAACAAUACAUUUAAUUGCAUAAGGAAUCUUGUGAUAAGUAUAGGUUUUAAUCAAUAUAUAAAACCAUAUUCUUAAAUUCUGGGACCAAUAAUUAAACAAAUUACUUCAAAUAAUUUUGGUGGUUUUCUAGAUUGAAGAUGUGAUUUUUGAAUUAAUUGAACUUUAAGCUUCAGCCUCAAUAUUUAAUGAAUGUUAUAAUAAGUGUACAUUUCAAACAUUUAUCAAAACACAAAAUGACUUUCAAUCUUUUGGGGGUUUAUCAGACCUUUCUCGUUUGUAUUAAGUUUUGAAAUUUGAAAUAUGUUAGAUUCGUACAGCACUGAAGAAACAUUCAGUGUUAAAAUUAUCAUCUGGUAUAAUAAAAUUGGUUCCGUUAAGGUUUGUUUUCCAAUAUUCAUUUUUAUAUAUCAUUUCAGCUGUAUCAUCUCAAAUGUUUAAUCUGGGAUUGAUGUUAGUGCUCCUGAAGAAUGUUGCCGGUCUUGUAAUUA